AAGUAUUGGAGGUGAUGCCUGCCCAGUGACAUCAUGUUCAACGGCCGCGGUAUCCUAACCGUGCAAAGGUAGCGCAAUCAAUUGUCUCAUAAAUCGAGACCUGUAUGAAUGGCUAAACGAGGUCUUAACUGUCUCCUGCAGAUAAUCAGUGAAACUGAUCUCCCUGUACAAAAGCAGGGAUGAGCACAUAAGACGAGAAGACCCUGUGGAACUUCAAAAUCAAUAGCCACCUCAACACCCACCCAAACCUACCAGGCUCACCACCCAAAGCUAUGGCUAAUAUUUUUAGGUUGGGGCGACCCUGGAGAAAAACAAAUCCUCCACAAAUCAAGGCCACAACCCUUAACCAAGAGCCACCCCUCAACGUGCUAAGAGCACACAGACCCAAUAAAAUUGACCAAUGAACCAAGCUACCCCAGGGAUAACAGCGCAAUUCCCUCCAAGAGCCCCUAUCGACGAGGGAGUUUACGACCUCGAUGUUGGAUCAGGACAUCCUAGUGGUGCAACCGCUACUAAGGGUUCGUUUGUUCAA
RNAcentral lists this ribosomal RNA (532 nucleotides) under Cyanoramphus novaezelandiae. RNAcentral's name for it is "partial 16S ribosomal RNA". It matches the Rfam family "Bacterial large subunit ribosomal RNA", at positions 1841 to 2584 of the family's 2925-position model. Lineage: Eukaryota; Metazoa; Chordata; Aves; Psittaciformes; Psittacidae. The record is from RNAcentral.